Long non-coding RNA from Rhinopithecus roxellana (golden snub-nosed monkey), 1051 nucleotides. RefSeq lists it as uncharacterized. The record is from RefSeq and is a predicted model, not a curated record. NCBI's taxonomy places the organism in Eukaryota, Metazoa, Chordata, Mammalia, Primates, Cercopithecidae. The transcript has 3 exons.
GUGGUCUCUCCUCUUCCCAUACACACCUUACGGAGUCUUCACAGGGUGUGAUGAUGGGAAGCCUAGACAUGCUCAUCAGAGGUUUGUCCUCUUAUCGGGACACGUCAGAAAUUAGAGAGACCCUGGCAAUCACAGCUCCACCUCCUCAUUUUACAAAUGAGCAACUAGGCUCAGAGUACAAAAGUGGUUUUCCCAGGGUCACACAGCCAGCUUGUGACAGAGUCAGGAUUCAAGCACCAUCUCCUGACUUCUCCAUUGCACCAGACGUCGAUAGAACACAGAGAACCUAAAAGAAGAAAGAAAAAAAAGAUAGAGCUUUUGGAAAUAUAUUGGGCUUCUGGUUUUCAAGGACAAUUUUAUGAUAAGUAGCAAUGAUGCCUCAAAAGCUCUGGUAGCUAGCUUGAAUGAACUUAUGUAAUAAACAUUUAUCACAGAACAUGUGUCAUCAAACACCUGCCAGUUCUGAGCGUUGGCACCAAAGCUGCUUUCAUUGUCAAAGAAAAGAGGGGGAAAGGAACUUGGCUGAACAAAGCUGGCAGACGUUUAUACUAGAAAAUUUAGAGAUGUCAGGAGCAAUGGAGCACCAAUGGUGGAAGAACCUACCUCCCCUGGCUCCAUCAAAGGCCACAGGCCCAUGAGAAUCACCCAGCCUGCUCUGAGCGGCACACUCGGAGACCACAGCCGCGCACAGGAAAGUGAGAGGAAGUGGAAACGUGCGAGCAGAGGGCUCAAAGCAACGGGCUCGCCACCGGAAAAAAAAAAAAUAAAAAUAAACAUGCUCAGAAAUAGUGUAACUGAUAUGCAAAGAAGAUCAAAACAAGGGUUUUAAAAUAUCUUGGCUGCUUUAGAGAAGGUGGGGGUGGUAAUUAAAUCGAGGUUGCAAAUGCGUGUUAGGGGAGUGGGGCGGUUAGGUGGAUGGUUCACUGAAGACUGCCAGGCCAUGGGAGCCUGGGAGCCCAAGGGUAUUUCAGAUGAAAAUGUGGCACUUAUAUGUGGAAUGUAAAAAAUAGUUGAACUCAUAGAAGCAGAGAAUAAAAUGGUUAUUCUCAGA